CCGCCGGGACGACCCGUGCGGAGUCAUCACAGGCGGGGACGGCCCU
This 46-nucleotide non-coding RNA is filed under the name Microbacterium sp. RNAcentral describes it as "Guanidine-II sequence". It matches the Rfam family "Guanidine-II riboswitch aptamer (mini-ykkC)". Rfam says of the family: Simpler in structure and has fewer highly conserved nucleotide positions than the ykkC-yxkD leader. Lineage: Bacteria; Bacillati; Actinomycetota; Actinomycetes; Micrococcales; Microbacteriaceae. The record is from RNAcentral.